Long non-coding RNA from Quercus lobata, 563 nucleotides. RefSeq lists it as uncharacterized. The record is from RefSeq and is a predicted model, not a curated record. The transcript has 2 exons. NCBI's taxonomy places the organism in Eukaryota, Viridiplantae, Streptophyta, Magnoliopsida, Fagales, Fagaceae.
AACUCAGCACGCAGGUUUUCUCCUCUCUUCACGCUGCCCCCUCAUCCCUUUCUCUUUGGCGUAAACGCAGAGCAUUCCUCUUCUCUCAGUCUCGCUCUCUCUGUUCGUAGCCUUUGUUGGCUCAAGUCUUGGCCUCUAAAGCUUGGGCUUUGAGGAGUACAUAAAUUUGAUUCUGGAUGAUGCUGGAAAAGUCAACAUCAAGAGGCAGAGCAAAAAACUUUAGGUGGGUUCAUUUUCUCAUUUUCCUUUUCUUUUAUUCUCCAAAAUGUGCAUACUUUGAAUGUGGUACAUCUAUUUUGUUAUGGGUCGAUUACAUAUCAAAAAAAAUGUACAAGGUAGAUUCUUCUUAAGAGAUGCAACACAAUAGCCACCUCUCUCUCAAUAGUGGAAAGUGAUGAUUUCAGCAAUUGUGUAAAUUGGCAUUAUGGUUCCUUUUCAAUCCCAUUGAGGUCUAGAAUCUUUGUUUACUGGCAAUGUUAGAAUUUAGAUACAUCUUGGACAUCAAGAAUGAUUAAUGUAAUUUAUGAAAGAUAUUUGAUUGAAUGAGUAUUGAAUUAACUAUA